Molecule: transfer RNA, 70 nt
Filed under: Araeosoma owstoni
Lineage: Eukaryota; Metazoa; Echinodermata; Echinoidea; Echinothurioida; Echinothuriidae
Description: tRNA-Ala
Rfam family: tRNA
About the family: Transfer RNA (tRNA) molecules are approximately 80 nucleotides in length. Their secondary structure includes four short double-helical elements and three loops (D, anti-codon, and T loops).
Source: RNAcentral
UGUGGUUUUAGUUUAGAAGAAUAUCUGCUUUGCAAGUAGGAGGUCUAGGUUGAAGUCUUAGAAACUACAG